AUACGGAGGGGGCUAGCGUUGUUCGGAAUCACUGGGCGUAAAGCGCUCGUAGGCGGAUUGGUCAGUCAGAGGUGAAAUCCCAAGGCUCAACCUUGGAACUGCCUUUGAUACUGCCAGUCUUGAGGUCGAGAGAGGUAAGUGGAAUUCCUAGUGUAGAGGUGAAAUUCGUAGAUAUUAGGAAGAACACCAGUGGCGAAGGCGACUUACUGGCUCGAUUCUGACGCUGAGGAGCGAAAGCGUGGGGAGCAAACAGGAUUAGAAACCCUUGUAGUCC
This 274-nucleotide ribosomal RNA is filed under the name uncultured bacterium. Its description in RNAcentral is "partial 16S ribosomal RNA". It matches the Rfam family "Bacterial small subunit ribosomal RNA", at positions 523 to 796 of the family's 1533-position model. The record is from RNAcentral.